RNAcentral lists this ribosomal RNA (2906 nucleotides) under Escherichia coli. Its description in RNAcentral is "23S ribosomal RNA". It matches the Rfam family "Bacterial large subunit ribosomal RNA". Lineage: Bacteria; Pseudomonadati; Pseudomonadota; Gammaproteobacteria; Enterobacterales; Enterobacteriaceae. The record is from RNAcentral.
GGUUAAGCGACUAAGCGUACACGGUGGAUGCCCUGGCAGUCAGAGGCGAUGAAGGACGUGCUAAUCUGCGAUAAGCGUCGGUAAGGUGAUAUGAACCGUUAUAACCGGCGAUUUCCGAAUGGGGAAACCCAGUGUGUUUCGACACACUAUCAUUAACUGAAUCCAUAGGUUAAUGAGGCGAACCGGGGGAACUGAAACAUCUAAGUACCCCGAGGAAAAGAAAUCAACCGAGAUUCCCCCAGUAGCGGCGAGCGAACGGGGAGCAGCCCAGAGCCUGAAUCAGUGUGUGUGUUAGUGGAAGCGUCUGGAAAGGCGCGCGAUACAGGGUGACAGCCCCGUACACAAAAAUACACAUACUGUGAGCUCGAUGAGUAGGGCGGGACACGUGGUAUCCUGUCUGAAUAUGGGGGGACCAUCCUCCAAGGCUAAAUACUCCUGACUGACCGAUAGUGAACCAGUACCGUGAGGGAAAGGCGAAAAGAACCCCGGCGAGGGGAGUGAAAAAGAACCUGAAACCGUGUACGUACAAGCAGUGGGAGCACGCUUAGGCGUGUGACUGCGUACCUUUUGUAUAAUGGGUCAGCGACUUAUAUUCUGUAGCAAGGUUAACCGAAUAGGGGAGCCGAAGGGAAACCGAGUCUUAACUGGGCGUUAAGUUGCAGGGUAUAGACCCGAAACCCGGUGAUCUAGCCAUGGGCAGGUUGAAGGUUGGGUAACACUAACUGGAGGACCGAACCGACUAAUGUUGAAAAAUUAGCGGAUGACUUGUGGCUGGGGGUGAAAGGCCAAUCAAACCGGGAGAUAGCUGGUUCUCCCCGAAAGCUAUUUAGGUAGCGCCUCGUGAAUUCAUCUCCGGGGGUAGAGCACUGUUUCGGCAAGGGGGUCAUCCCGACUUACCAACCCGAUGCAAACUGCGAAUACCGGAGAAUGUUAUCACGGGAGACACACGGCGGGUGCUAACGUCCGUCGUGAAGAGGGAAACAACCCAGACCGCCAGCUAAGGUCCCAAAGUCAUGGUUAAGUGGGAAACGAUGUGGGAAGGCCCAGACAGCCAGGAUGUUGGCUUAGAAGCAGCCAUCAUUUAAAGAAAGCGUAAUAGCUCACUGGUCGAGUCGGCCUGCGCGGAAGAUGUAACGGGGCUAAACCAUGCACCGAAGCUGCGGCAGCGACACUAUGUGUUGUUGGGUAGGGGAGCGUUCUGUAAGCCUGUGAAGGUGUACUGUGAGGUAUGCUGGAGGUAUCAGAAGUGCGAAUGCUGACAUAAGUAACGAUAAAGCGGGUGAAAAGCCCGCUCGCCGGAAGACCAAGGGUUCCUGUCCAACGUUAAUCGGGGCAGGGUGAGUCGACCCCUAAGGCGAGGCCGAAAGGCGUAGUCGAUGGGAAAAGGUUAAUAUUCCUGUACUUGGUGUUACUGCGAAGGGGGGACGGAGAAGGCUAUGUUGGCCGGGCGACGGUUGUCCCGGUUUAAGCGUGUAGGCUGGUUUUCCAGGCAAAUCCGGAAAAUCAAGGCUGAGGCGUGAUGACGAGGCACUACGGUGCUGAAGCAACAAAUGCCCUGCUUCCAGGAAAAGCCUCUAAGCAUCAGGUAACAUCAAAUCGUACCCCAAACCGACACAGGUGGUCAGGUAGAGAAUACCAAGGCGCUUGAGAGAACUCGGGUGAAGGAACUAGGCAAAAUGGUGCCGUAACUUCGGGAGAAGGCACGCUGAUAUGUAGGUGAAGUCCCUCGCGGAUGGAGCUGAAAUCAGUCGAAGAUACCAGCUGGCUGCAACUGUUUAUUAAAAACACAGCACUGUGCAAACACGAAAGUGGACGUAUACGGUGUGACGCCUGCCCGGUGCCGGAAGGUUAAUUGAUGGGGUUAGCGCAAGCGAAGCUCUUGAUCGAUCGAAGCCCCGGUAAACGGCGGCCGUAACUAUAACGGUCCUAAGGUAGCGAAAUUCCUUGUCGGGUAAGUUCCGACCUGCACGAAUGGCGUAAUGAUGGCCAGGCUGUCUCCACCCGAGACUCAGUGAAAUUGAACUCGCUGUGAAGAUGCAGUGUACCCGCGGCAAGACGGAAAGACCCCGUGAACCUUUACUAUAGCUUGACACUGAACAUUGAGCCUUGAUGUGUAGGAUAGGUGGGAGGCUUUGAAGUGUGGACGCCAGUCUGCAUGGAGCCGACCUUGAAAUACCACCCUUUAAUGUUUGAUGUUCUAACGUUGACCCGUAAUCCGGGUUGCGGACAGUGUCUGGUGGGUAGUUUGACUGGGGCGGUCUCCUCCUAAAGAGUAACGGAGGAGCACGAAGGUUGGCUAAUCCUGGUCGGACAUCAGGAGGUUAGUGCAAUGGCAUAAGCCAGCUUGACUGCGAGCGUGACGGCGCGAGCAGGUGCGAAAGCAGGUCAUAGUGAUCCGGUGGUUCUGAAUGGAAGGGCCAUCGCUCAACGGAUAAAAGGUACUCCGGGGAUAACAGGCUGAUACCGCCCAAGAGUUCAUAUCGACGGCGGUGUUUGGCACCUCGAUGUCGGCUCAUCACAUCCUGGGGCUGAAGUAGGUCCCAAGGGUAUGGCUGUUCGCCAUUUAAAGUGGUACGCGAGCUGGGUUUAGAACGUCGUGAGACAGUUCGGUCCCUAUCUGCCGUGGGCGCUGGAGAAUUGAGGGGGGCUGCUCCUAGUACGAGAGGACCGGAGUGGACGCAUCACUGGUGUUCGGGUUGUCAUGCCAAUGGCACUGCCCGGUAGCUAAAUGCGGAAGAGAUAAGUGCUGAAAGCAUCUAAGCACGAAACUUGCCCCGAGAUGAGUUCUCCCUGACUCCUUGAGAGUCCUGAAGGAACGUUGAAGACGACGACGUUGAUAGGCCGGGUGUGUAAGCGCAGCGAUGCGUUGAGCUAACCGGUACUAAUGAACCGUGAGGCUUAACCUU